Molecule: non-coding RNA, 72 nt
Organism: Camelus ferus (Wild Bactrian camel)
Lineage: Eukaryota; Metazoa; Chordata; Mammalia; Artiodactyla; Camelidae
Source: Rfam
GAGGGUAUAGCUCAGUGGUAGAGUGUGAGCUUAGCAUGCGCAAGGUCCUUGGUUCAAUCCCCAGGACCUCUG